RNAcentral lists this ribosomal RNA (600 nucleotides) under uncultured bacterium. RNAcentral describes it as "bacterial SSU rRNA". It matches the Rfam family "Bacterial small subunit ribosomal RNA", at positions 758 to 1364 of the family's 1533-position model. The record is from RNAcentral.
AGCUGGGUAGCGAACCAGGAUUAGAUANCCUGGUAGUCCACGCCGGUAAACGAUGAUUACUCGAUGCUGGCGAUAUACUGUCAGUGUCCAAGCGAAAGUGUUAAGUAAUCCACCUGGGGAGUACGAUCGCAAGAUUGAAACUCAAAGGAAUUGACGGGGGCCCGGACAAGCGGAGGAACAUGUGGUUUAAUUCGAUGAUACGCGAGGAACCUUACCUGGGCUUAAAUGCAAGAUGACAGGCUGGGAAACCAGUCCUUCUUCGGACAACUUGCAAGGUGCUGCAUGGCUGUCGUCAGCUCGUGCCGUGAGGUGUCGGGUUAAGUCCCAUAACGAGCGCAACCCCUAUUCUUAGUUGCCAGCGGAUAAUGCCGGGGACUCUAAGAAAACUGCCCGCGCAAGCGGAGAGGAAGGUGGGGAUGACGUCAAGUCAGCACGGCCCUUACGUCCAGGGCAACACACGUGUUACAAUGGCUGGUACAGAGGGCAGCUACCUGGUAACAGGAUGCUAAUCUCUAAAACCGGUCUCAGUUCGGAUCGAAGUCUGCAACUCGACUUCGUGAAGUCGGAUUCGCUAGUAAUCGCGCAUCAGUAUGCGCGGUG